This 397-nucleotide long non-coding RNA is filed under the name Trifolium pratense (red clover). RNAcentral's name for it is "long non-coding RNA (TPRA_LNC006623)". The record is from RNAcentral. Lineage: Eukaryota; Viridiplantae; Streptophyta; Magnoliopsida; Fabales; Fabaceae.
UUCAAAUUAAAACCCAGAAAUUUAUCAGCUUAUACAACUUGUUUGUUUCUCUCCUCUCUGUUUCCAUUUCACAUGCCUUAGAUCACGCUUAAAUUUGUUUAUAUCGUCUCUUUUGUACUAGAUCUGUUAUAUUUCUUUGUCUUCAACUAUUUAUAUCAAAGGUGUUUCUGAUUGUUUUUUUAUGUUCUGAAUUUUUUCUUUGCAAAUCUUUUUUUUUUUCUUUCUUUUUUUGAAACCGUUUGAGUCCAUCCGUUUGACCCGCAAUCCGCCUGACCCGAAUCCGUCUAACCCGACUCUUAAAAACGGAUCGGUAUGGACUGCAGUACUCCACCCGUGGACAGGGUCGGGUGGUGUUUUUUGGCCUGAACCCGGCCGACCCGGCCCGUUGUCCACCCCU